Molecule: ribosomal RNA, 1495 nt
Filed under: uncultured Bordetella sp.
Lineage: Bacteria; Pseudomonadati; Pseudomonadota; Betaproteobacteria; Burkholderiales; Alcaligenaceae
Description: partial 16S-23S ribosomal RNA intergenic spacer
Rfam family: Bacterial small subunit ribosomal RNA
Source: RNAcentral
GGUUUGAUCCUGGCUCAGAUUGAACGCUGGCGGAUGCUUUACACAUGCAAGUCGAACAAGAAAACGGACUUCGGUCUGGUGGCGAGGGUGAACGGGUGAGUAAUGUAUCGGAACGUGCCUAUAGCGGGGGGAUAACUACGCGAAAGCGUAGCUAAUACCGCAUAAUACGCCCUUCGGGGGAAAGCGGGGAUUCGGCCCCGCACUAUUAGAGCGGCCGAUAUCGGAUUAGCUAGUUGGUGGGGUAACGGCUCACCGGAAGACGACGAUCCGUAGCUGGUUUGAGAGGACGACCAGCCACACUGGGACUGGAGACACGGCUCAGACUCCUACGGAGGCAGCAGUGGGGAAUUUUGGACAAUGGGGAAACCCUGAUCCAGCCAUCCUGGGCGUGUGCGAUGAAGGCCUUCGGGUUGUAAAGCACUUUUGGCAGGAAAGAAACGGCACGGGAUAAUACCCUCGUGCAACUGACGGUACCUGCAGAAUAAGCACCGGCUAACUAUGCACAGCAGCCGUAAUACGUAGGUAAGCGUUAAUCGGAAUUACUGGGCGUAAAGCGUAUGCAGGCGGUUCGGAAAGAAAGAUGUGAAAUCCCAGAGCUUAACCUUGAACUGCAUUUUUAACUACCGGAGCUAGAGUGUGUCAGAGGGAGGUGGAAUUCCGCGUGUAGCAGUGAAAUGGUGAUAUGCGGAGGAACACCGAUGGCGAAGGCGAGUUCUGGAGGUAACACUGACGUCGCGUUAGCAGGCACAAAAUGUGUGGGAGCAAACAGGAUUGAUACCCUGGUAGUCCACGCUCCUAAACGAUGUCAACUUAGCUGUUGGGGCCUUCGGCCUGGUAGCGCAGCUAACGCGUGAAGUUGACCGCCUGGGGAGUAAUGGUCGCAAGAUUAAACUCAAAGGAAUUGACGGGACCCGCACAAGCGGUGGAUGAUGUGGAUUAAUUCGAUGCAACGCGAAAAACCUUACCUACCCUUGACAUGUCUGGCAAUCCCGAAGAGAUUUGGGAGUGUCUCGCAAGAGAGCUGAACAGGUGCUGCAUGGCUGUCGUCAGCUCGUGUCGUGAGAUGUUGGCGGUUAAGUCCCGCAACGAGCGCAACCCUUGUCAUUAGUUGCUACGAAAGGCACUCUGGAAUGAGACUGGUGCUGGUGACAAACCUGAGGAAGGUGGGGAUGACGUCAAGUCCUCAUGGCCCUUAUGGGUAGGGCUUCACACGUCAUACAAUGGUCGGGACAGAGGUCGCUAACCCGCGAGGGGGAGCCAAUCCCAGAAACCCGAUCGUAGUCCGGAUCGCAGUCUGCAACUCGACUGCGUGAAGUCGGAAUCGCUAGUAAUCGCGGAUCAGCAUGUCGCGGUGAAUACGUUCCCGGGUCUUGUACACACCGCCCAAUGGUGAAUCAUGGCAAAAGAUGGGUUUUACCAGAAGUGCUAGCCUAACCGUAAGGAGGGCGAUUACCACGGUAGGAUUCAUGACUGGGGUGAAGUCGUAACAAGGUAG